UACGUAGGUGGCAAGCGUUGUUCGGAAUCACUGGGCAUAAAGAGUUCGUAGGCGGCUUGGUAAGUCAGGUGUGAAAUACCUCGGCUCAACCGAGGAACUGCACUUGAAACUGCCGCGCUUGAGGGCAACAAGGGAGAGCGGAAUUCUGGGUGUAGCGGUGAAAUGCGUUGAUAUCCAGGAGAACACCGGAGGCGAAGGCGGCUCUCUGGGUUGUCCCCGACGCUGAGGAACGAAAGCCAGGGGAG
RNAcentral lists this ribosomal RNA (245 nucleotides) under uncultured bacterium. RNAcentral's name for it is "partial 16S ribosomal RNA". It matches the Rfam family "Bacterial small subunit ribosomal RNA", at positions 524 to 768 of the family's 1533-position model. The record is from RNAcentral.